This 512-nucleotide ribosomal RNA is filed under the name uncultured bacterium. Its description in RNAcentral is "bacterial SSU rRNA". It matches the Rfam family "Bacterial small subunit ribosomal RNA", at positions 14 to 518 of the family's 1533-position model. The record is from RNAcentral.
CGAUUCUGGCUCAGGAUGAACGCUAGCGGCAGGCUUAACACAUGCAAGUCGAGGGGCAACGCGAGUAGCAAUACUUGGCGGCGACCGGCGCAAGGGUGCGUAACGCGUGAGCAACAUGCCCGUAUCAGGGGGAUAAUCCAGGGAAACUUGGUCUAAUACCCCAUAGUAAUUUUUGUAAGGCAUCUUAUAAGAUUUAAAGCUUUGGUGGAUACGGAUUGGCUCGCGUGACAUUAGCUGGAUGGUAAGGUAACGGCUUACCAUGGCUAUGAUGUCUAGGGGUUCUGAGAGGAAGGUCCCCCACACUGGAACUGAGACACGGUCCAGACUCCUACGGGAGGCAGCAGUGAGGAAUAUUGGACAAUGGAUGGAAAUCUGAUCCAGCCAUGCCGCGUGAAGGAAAAGAAGGUCCUAUGGAUUGUAAACUUCUUUUGUAUGGGAGCAAUAAGGCCUACGAGUAGGUUGAUGAGAGUACCAUACGAAUAAGCACCGGCUAACUCCGUGCCAGCCGCAGC